Molecule: ribosomal RNA, 261 nt
Filed under: uncultured bacterium
Lineage: Bacteria
Description: partial 16S ribosomal RNA
Rfam family: Bacterial small subunit ribosomal RNA
Source: RNAcentral
AGAGGGCAGCCAAGUCGUGAGGCGGAGCUAAUCCCUUAAAGCCAUUCUCAGUUCGGAUUGUAGGCUGAAACUCGCCUACAUGAAGCUGGAGUUACUAGUAAUCGCGGAUCAGCAUGCCGCGGUGAAUACGUUCCCGGGCCUUGUACACACCGCCCGUCACACCAUGGGAGCCGGUAAUACCCGAAGUCAGUAGCCUAACCGCAAGGGGGGGCGCUGCCGAAGGUAGGAUUGGCGACUGGGGUGAAGUCGUAACAAGGUAAC